This 405-nucleotide ribosomal RNA is filed under the name uncultured bacterium. RNAcentral's name for it is "partial 16S ribosomal RNA". It matches the Rfam family "Bacterial small subunit ribosomal RNA", at positions 28 to 526 of the family's 1533-position model. The record is from RNAcentral.
GACGAACGCUGGCGGCGUGCUUAACACAUGCAAGUCGAGCGGAGCGGCGAACGGGUGAGUAACGCGUGAGUAACUGCCCCCCUCUCUGUGAUAACAGUUGGAAACGGCUGCUAAUACCGGAUAGUGGGGGAUGACUCGCGGCCUAUCAGCUUGUUGGUGGGGUAGUGGCCUACCGAGGCGACGACGGGUAGCCGGCCUGAGAGGGCGACCGGCCACAAUGGGCGGCGAUAGGGACCAAACGGCAACGGGGGGCAGCAGUGGGGAAGAUUGCACAAUGGGGGAAACCCUGAUGAAGCAACGCCGGGUGCGGGAUGACGUCCUUCGGGUUGUAAACCGGUUUCAGCCAUGACGCGGUAGUGGCAGAAGAAGCACCGGCUAACUACGUGUCAGCAGCCGCGGUAAUUC